CGACCCCAGGUCAGGCGGGGACUACCAAA
Molecule: ribosomal RNA, 29 nt
Filed under: Guaiacum officinale
Lineage: Eukaryota; Viridiplantae; Streptophyta; Magnoliopsida; Zygophyllales; Zygophyllaceae
Description: partial 25S ribosomal RNA
Source: RNAcentral